AGCAGCCGCGGUAAUUCCAGCUCCAAUAGCGUAUAUUAAAGUUGUUGCAGUUAAAAAGCUCGUAGUUGAAUUUCGGGAUCAAUAUGUUGGUCGUGCCUUGGUACGUACUGGCAUUAUCGAUUCCUACCUUCUGAAGAACCUCGAUGUCAUUAAUUUGGUGUCUUGGGGAAUCAGGACUGUUACUUUGAAAAAAUUAGAGUGUUUAAAGCAGGCUCGCGCUUGAAUACAUUAGCAUGGAAUAAUGAAAUAGGACGUUUGAUUCUAUUUUGUUGGUUUCUAGGAUCGACGUAAUGAUUAAUAGGGAUAGUUGGGGGCAUUAGUAUUCAAUUGUCAGAGGUGAAAUUCUUGGAUUUAUUGAAGACUAACUACUGCGAAAGCAUUUGCCAAGGAUGUUUUCAUUAAUCAAGAACGAAAGUUAGGGGAUCGAAGACGAGCAGAUACCGUCGUAGUCUUAACCAUAAACUAUGCCGACUAGGGAUCGGAUGAUGUUAAUUUUUUAAUGACUCAUUCGGCGCCUUAC
This 520-nucleotide unclassified non-coding RNA is filed under the name uncultured Glomus. RNAcentral's name for it is "SSU rRNA". It matches the Rfam family "Eukaryotic small subunit ribosomal RNA", at positions 569 to 1091 of the family's 1831-position model. Lineage: Eukaryota; Fungi; Glomeromycota; Glomeromycetes; Glomerales; Glomeraceae. The record is from RNAcentral.